This 253-nucleotide ribosomal RNA is filed under the name uncultured bacterium. RNAcentral's name for it is "partial 16S ribosomal RNA". It matches the Rfam family "Bacterial small subunit ribosomal RNA", at positions 524 to 776 of the family's 1533-position model. The record is from RNAcentral.
UACGUAGGGUGCAAGCGUUAAUCGGAAUUACUGGGCGUAAAGCGUGCGCAGGCGGCUUUGCAAGACAGAUGUGAAAUCCCCGGGCUUAACCUGGGAACUGCAUUUGUGACUGCAUGGCUGGAGUGCGGCAGAGGGGGAUGGAAUUCCGCGUGUAGCAGUGAAAUGCGUAGAUAUCUGGAGGAACACCGAUGGCGAAGGCAGCCCCCUGGGCUAACACUGACGCUCAUGCACGAAAGCGUGGGGAGCAAACAGG